Molecule: ribosomal RNA, 459 nt
Filed under: uncultured bacterium
Lineage: Bacteria
Description: partial 16S ribosomal RNA
Rfam family: Bacterial small subunit ribosomal RNA
Source: RNAcentral
CCUACGGGUGGCAGCAGUGAGGAAUAUUGGUCAAUGGCCGAGAGGCUGAACCAGCCAAGUCGCGUGAGGGAUGACGGCCCUACGGGUUGUAAACCUCUUUUGCCGGGGAGCAAAGAGCGGGACGCGUCCCGCUCCGAGAGUACCCGGAGAAAAAGCAUCGGCUAACUCCGUGCCAGCAGCCGCGGUAAUACGGAGGAUGCGAGCGUUAUCCGGAUUUAUUGGGUUUAAGGGGUGCGCAGGCGGAAGCGCAAGUCAGCGGUAAAAUUGAGAGGCUCAACCUCUUCCAGCCGUUGAAACUGGUGUUCUUGAGUGGGCGAGAAGUACGCGGAAUGCGUGGUGUAGCGGUGAAAUGCAUAGAUAUCACGCAGAACUCCGAUUGCGAAGGCAGCGUACCGGCGCCCAACUGACGCUCAUGCACGAAAGCGUGGGUAUCGAACAGGAUUAGAUACCCGUGUAGUC